CUGGUUUCCACUUCAAUUCGUAGACCGAUUCAUUUCAUUCCCUACUCUGACCUGGGCGGGGGUUCUUUUACUACUCUCAUUGGCAACUCUGAUGCUUACUACUAUAUUAGUUUAUUACUAGAUACGCUAGAUGCACUGGAUCAUACCAUGCCCUAUUCUACUUAUUGACCCUUUUCUUCAGAUUUGUUAUUUACGAGCUUGAUCUGACCUCUAACCUUAUAGUAUAGACAAACAUGGGCUCUAUUACAGUAAUUCAAUUCAUAUUUGUGGUAUCAAAACUAUAUCCCGAAUCGCGCCCUUACUCACCCAAAGAAAAGAAAGAGACUAAUUCCGUAUUGGACCCCCGAAUUGAAAUACAGAAGAGCACUUGUUAGUAAAAGAAUAGAAGCAGUAAACAUGUCUCGCGUAGGUAGGUAUGUUUGCUCCGGUGUUCGUUUAGUCCAAUCUUUCUUUGUUUCCUAUAUCCACCAAGUCACUACGGGAUAAGUCUGACUAUUCUUUUUCUCUCAUUAUUGGAUACCAGGGGUGAGCUCUAAGACUAAUAGCAUAUAUAUAGGGUAUGCGACUAAUAGGAAUACUCAAAGGGUCGGGUAGGGACACAUAGGGAAUACGACUACUACUAUUUUCACUAUACUCCUAUUGGAAUCAAACUAAGUGGUCAAAGAGUGAGGUGGACAAGCGUGAAUGAGAGAAAGGAGAGGCAGACCAAUCUACUAAUACGGAACGAAAGGUAUGAUAGGCAGGCUCACAGCUAGUAAGGCAAGGUUCGACCCUAGUAGUUUCAGUUUAGGCAGACUGAUGGCAGGCUAGUGAGAAUCGAAUCAAGUUUAGUAAUACUUGUUUCAAGCAAGGAAGAUAAGACUCUGUUUGUGGAUAGGUAGACAAUAAUAUAGCUAGUCAAGAUUCGGAUCAGUACAAAAAUGAGUGAUGUGUUUGCUUCUUAGAGGUAUGGUGUCUGGUUUGAAAGCAAAGAAGUAAGGGCUGGGAUGUGCCAUUGAUCUACUUAUUCGUAUAAAAGAACUCAUUUCUGGUUUUCGGUGUUCGUAUUCCCAAGUGAGUUAAGGCCUAGCCUAGUUAAGUCUUGUCGGUAUUCCAUGAUCUAUUGUAAGGUAAUAGCUGGGGUUGAUCAAUCAAUGGGUGUGUUUUGAAGAGUCAAUAGUAAAGGACAAUAGCAAAGGAAUAGCAAGCAUGUGUUACGUCUUUGGAUAAGUAAGAAAGGAAUAGCAUGUGUUACGCAAUGCGAAAGUGGAGGGUUUCUAUGACAAGUAAUAAUUCAAAGGUAGGCAGUGAAUCCAUGUGUUAAUACGCCUAUAGAAAUCUGGAGUCAAUAUAUGGGUUUGAUAUAAUAACAUAAGAAUGAGUUUUGAAACAACAAAUCGGAAUUCAAAGUGUGGUGUGAUCGAUAGAGUUAAAGACAGAAGUCAUAAUUCUACUAAUAAGUUUCGAAAUCCACUCUAAUGUAAUAAGUAGGAAAUCAACUCUAAUGUAAUAAGUAGGAAAUCAACUCAAAAGUAAGGAUCCCUGUCUCGAACUACAAGACAACUAGGCUUAUAAGCAUAAUCCCACUCCAAAGCCAGAAUCCAACUAAGUAGUGGAAGUGGCGGUAAGUACUCCCUCUCGGCUAAGGAAAGUCAGAAUGGAGCUCUCUAUAGGAAAUGAAACCAACAAAAGCAAGAAUGAGUAGUUUAGGUACGAGGAAAGAAUUGCACUUUCCAGUCUGGGUAGGCGGGCUAUAAUACUAAGACAUCGCCCACAGAGUUCGAAUUGGACUUUUUUGUUAGUUGGAUUCUAUUCUCUCUUCCUGUCCUGGUGUAGGCGUCUGGCCCGGUCCUUCUUCUGGUUGAACCACAGGUGAAUCUCAGAAUUCUGUUUGCUUGAAUUAAUACCCCAAAAAGCAUAGAAAAGAAAAGAUAAUAACAAUAGGUGUUUUGUCGAGCAAGGAAAGCAAUACUGAAGUUUGAUCCAAUAGAAUAGGUUGUUGGUGUACCGGGGAAGCCUAUCUCGUGUUAGGGAACCUACUCAGUAAAGAAUGCGGGUGGAGCAUACAAAAAUGCAAGACAUGGGAUAUAUCGGAUAGUAAGCAAAGAAAGAGUGAUGUUGUACGCCACAAGAGCUAUCAAGAAAACAGAAUCACUAUUGUCAUUGAUAUUACAAAUAAGAAUCAAAGAAAGCAAUUGAAGAAGCGAACCCAACUAUCAAACUCAAUAAAAGAAUACAGAGUUGCGCUGGUAACUAGAAGAUUGUGAACUAAUGCUUCUAGGGUUCCUAACACUGCCAGCAGGACUCACCCUACGGAUCCGGAUCUUUGCCUUAUUGCCUAUGAGCCCCACUUUUCCUGGGGUUAGUCUUACAUUACUCGAUUCAGGCUUAAUCAAACUCUUAUAUAAUUCUAACCACUUAUGGAACUAUUGAUUCUAUACCUCUUUGCUUUGGUUCUGUAGCUGCUGCCACUGAUUCGUAUGUUAUGUUAGAUUGAGUCCACCUUUAUGCCAAUUAUGAACUGUCUAAAUCUCACUUUAUGCAAUUAUGAACGGAACUAGACUUCCCUAUAGAAUGAGGGAUUCCACCACCCCUGUGAAAGAAUGAAACAAUAAAGCAAGUACCUGUUGCUGAAGACAAACUAUAGUAGUGAUAUCUGAGUUGAAGACCUGAGCUCGAACGUAACUGACUUUCUGAACCAACAACACAAACGGAAUCGCCAACUAAGAGAUCCACUUCGUUGCUGACUCUUGCUGCUGAUGGACUUUACCCUAUGGAUGGAAUCUUGAUCCUAUCCGCUUCUACUGCUUAACCUUAUCUGAGAAUGAGUCAUAUGUUUCUUAUACCUUGUUGCUAAGUAGACUGAGUUAAGGUUAUUACCAAUAAGUAAGUCGCCGAGAAGAAAGAGUGGAACUGGCCUUUCUUAUAAGUUGGAAACCCUAUUCUUCUUUUGAACUCCCCCUCGCUACUUUAUCUAUCUUACAUUGAAUUGGAAGACAGAGAGGCACCGCGUAAACCCACCGAGGACAGAGAGGCACUGCUAAAAACACUAUUGACUUGAUUUUCUUAGAAAAGAGAAGAUGGGAAGCCCUACCGCCCUAAAGUAUGUAUCUAAACUAGUAGCCACCAAGCACCAUUACUUUCUUCCUAGUGCCAAAAGAGAAGUAAGCGCUGACAAGCUAGUAGAUUCAAUUGGAAUAGGCCACUAUCCCCUUCACCCAGCUUCCGUGAGUUACCUGACCUGAUUCUAUCAUACCUAGGCGGGGGACAAGCAGAGAUGCAAGCGAGUGCAAUUCCUUAUUAGUUGCUAUAUAGGUGUAAUAGAGUCAAAUCAUAGAAUUUAGCUAACUUCUUUUCCUUUCGCGGCUAAGUGAGCUUUGAAGGAGUAAGCAGAACAAGCGCUUAUGGAACAAAGUAGGAAGUACACACCGAAGAAGGACAGAAACAGAGACCAGGAUCCGGGUUCGUGUGUUGGUGCCGAGAAGCAUAAGCCAUAUCAGGUCUUUGUCUUUUACGUAGUUACUUGGCAGGAUGUUUAAACGGUUUUUUGGAGCUAAAACGAGUGCUUUUGAAACUAAUCUCUUUAGGAAAGAUAGUGUUACGCGUCAGUAAGGAUCAGAGGGAUCAAUACAAAGAAAGGGAAUGAAUCUAGUACUGGCAAGGCAGCAGCUAACAAUAAGGAACUCAACUAGCAAAGGCAGGACUGAACCCACUGACUAAGCAUAGGUACGGGAUAGCGCAUACUGAAAUGAGUCCAUUAGUACAAGAAUAGCAGUCAGCUGUAACAGUAUCCGGAUCAGCAGUUAGAGAGCUUUGAAGUCGACGGUGCAAGCCUUGGCUCCGAGUGGAUUUCUCGCUUUUGCCCGUUUGUUAGUGAAUCUGCUUGUCGAGAGAGACUCUGAUGCUUAUGUACUAUUAUGAGUCUGUUACCGCGUGUUGAUGCGCUAUCCUCUUAUUGCUACGAAAGAUAUAGAUUGGAUAUUACAAAUAAGAAUAAGGUAUGAUGUAAUAAAGGAUAUACUAAAAAACAAUAGGUAUGGGAAGUUGGAGUCAAUAGCCUAUAGGAUGUUAUUGAUCCAGUGCAUAUAGUAUAGAAAUUGAUAAUAUGGGUAUGAUCUAGCACAUAGUAGGGAGAUAGAAACAAACCGCUCAUAACAAGAAUCAAACAAGUACUUAGGAGAAUCAGAUACUGCCUAACGAACUAAGCUACCGGGACCCUAACACUCGAAAUAGGGAAUAAAGCCAUAUUACUUAUUAGAAUGAAUCCAAAGGAAACAGGCCUUCGCUACUGCCACCCGUCAAUUACCCAUCGUCAAUUCCCCAUCUUCGUAAAUUACCCAUCGCUGCUGACGCUGCCCUUGCUUGCUGGGUUCAGUCUACUACUUAUUUUCUUUGUCUACUUUCCCUUAUAUACAAGCAGCUUGUCUGUUUUCUUACUAGGUUCUACUACUGGUCCGGAUCUUAAAGCAAGAUAAAGAAAUGGAACUCUAUGUACACAGAGCUAGAGCAGAACAAUCAAUUGCAGUUUACGACUUGGACUGGACCACUACACUACUCGGUAAAGCCAAGCACAUAAGGUAAAGCAAGCCACUCUACGACGAAAAGAAAGAGACCCCCGUCGACAAGAAAGGUAAACCAUCUAUCCCGUCCUCGGCAAGUGCAGGUGCUUUUCUUUUUGCUAUCCAAUAUCUCUUUCUCUCGUGCGCAUAUCUAAUAGGUAGGAAUGGAACUCUUAGGUUGGAAUUGCACUCUCUUGCGCGGAGCUCUUCUCCGUAAGCCGAGAAAACUGUCCUGUAUUAAGUGAAGUCAACAACGGAUUUCGUCUCUUCUAAGCCAACUCAUUAACUUAGGGCUUCAAAGCAAGUAGAAAAGUAUGAGGGGUCCUAAAAGGGAUCCACCAAUGGGAUAAGCCAAACCUAAUACUUGUUGGUGUAGCAGUGAAAUUAGGGGCAUCAUAUCUUAUUGUUGAAGCGCGUCGUGAAUCAGUAUCCGAUCAGGGUUUUGGCUCUAGUACUGUCCUGUUUUCACUGGCUUAAGUCACUAACUACGGAACAGGCUUUUGUCGCACCCCACUUCUGGCUUUUGUAGUAUACGCUUGGCUUACUUGGUUAUAACGCUGACUUAACCUAUACGCGGACUUUCACCUAUGAUUCUAUAAGUCAAAUAAGGAUCGAGUCAAAAUAGCCCACGGAGCUCCUCGUUGCUUGUUCAUUAGACAUUGCUUGUUAGGUAAAGUACCCGCACAGAUGCAGAUGCAUACGAAGAGGAAGGAGGUGUCCAUUGCUUUAAGACGUAGGUUGAGAACACUAAUUGAUCCAUGGUUAAAGGAAGUGCGUGCUAGAGUAGAGAGCUUGCUUGCUUUACGAGACAUAGAUUACCCAUACAUAUAUGAACUAUCAAAUCUGUAUAUCAUAGCUAUUCUAUAUAUGAAUAAAUCAGUAUCAUAGGUGACCCAUUCUAUAUGAACUAUCAAAUCUGUAUAACCCAAGUCUAUGUAUUGGCUAAUAAUACCACUUGAAGACUUAUAUUUCGGUUCUCAUGAACUGUUGUAAGUAGAUAGAGAUCGCUAUUCAAUAGAAGGAUCUCCUGAUGUAAAGAAUAGGGGCAUUCAUAACUAGUUGUUUGUUAUGCUAACGGGAAUUACUUAUAAGGGAAUGGGGUCGAAGGGAUUGAGAGCCCUAUAGAAAGCCUAGAGCUGUUAAUGCUAGCAGUAGCCUAAUCAGCCAGCCCUCACUGGACUUAGACGAGCAUGCCUAAUUCCGUAUUCAUAGUCAUGACCCCUAAAGAGUGAGUGGAGUGUCCAGCCCUUUAAGAGUGAGUGGAGUGUCCAGUUGGAUUGACAGAACUAGACCCACCUGUAUUUAGAAAGCAAAAGGACCGACCCCCUUUCAAAGGUUCUCCUUUUUUGUUUAUUACUGCAUCGCUCCCGCCGUCGAUUAAUCUCUCCAAUUGCUUUCUCUGUGCCUUAUAAUAACACUUCUAAAGUAAUGGGAAUUGUACAACUUUCUAAAGUCAUGGGAAUUGGAACUCAAAUAAGAAAUUCAUGCUAGUCAGGCUUAGCUUUUGUUCUAGCGCCCCUAUUUGGAAUUAGGUCAAACGCAAAGCUUCUUUGUUGGCGGUUGGAUCCGGGUCCCCUAGGGCAGACUUGAGAUUCGAUCUAGAUAUGGAAUGAAAAGCUGCUUCUUCAAAGAAAGAGUAUAUCCAAACUAAUGGAAUGAAAAGCUGCUUCCUCAAAGAAAGAGGUCUAUAUCAAACGAAUGGAAUGAUCUUACUCCCACGGGGAAGCAACAUCGAGCGAUCGCUCAAGUUGGAUAGAAAUCUAGAAGUAUCCGGGAGACACCGGCAACGAAUCAUUUUCUUUAUUGACUUUCUUUUAAAGAUUAGUGAAAGUUCCUCUUGAAUCCAAUUCGUGAGAAGAGGCCCAGCGAGAGACAAGCAUAAGUAAGUAAUUGCCUGCUUCCCAAUCGAAAACAUCCUUCUGUACAUAUCGUAAGUGACUGUUGCCGGGCCAUAUGAACUGUAAAGGCAGGCUAGUUCUUCCUUCUUUCUAGUUGAUUGCGCUAAUAGUUGAUCUUGAGGCAGUCGGAGCCUAUAAAUUGGAUCAAAAAAGGGUGGAUUACAGCUCUUAUCUAGAGUGGAAUAAUGUUGGUUCAGAAAGAGAGAAAAGAAGAACUUAGCAAAUAAAUACUUGUGAGCAUCUUGGACUGUGUGAGGAAAGGAAACUGUCUGGAACGAUACUGGAAUAUGGAACUAUACUAGUAGACUAAACAAGAACUGCGGAUUCUGAUGCUACUGUUCUGAAAUACCCAUAUCUUUAUUGAACGAUUGGCGAAUGAGAAGAACUCGUGUAAGCUUUAAACUCUGUCAGCUCGGAAGAUUGGUGAAUAAGUAAAGUAGACUUUGCUCAUAUUUCCUUAUUCCGUUUCAGGGAUGCUGGAUGCUGUGUCUUUAAUAGAUUAAGUAAUCUUAAGGAGCUCUCUCUUUCAAAACUCCAAUUUGCUAGGUUUUGCCAUAAGGGGAGCUCACAAAAUCAUCAAUUUCUAGUGAAAAAACUUGCAUUUCCCUCGUAAGUGCAUUUUGCUAGGUUUUGCCAUAAGGGGAGCUCACAAAAGUCAUAUUUUGAGGCCUUCCAACUGUCAUUUCCCUCGUAACAAUCAUUUUGCUACUUUUUGCAUAUAUAUGGAGCUGUAACUUCCAAUCAUAUGUACUAUCUUAUUACCUUUCCCUCUUAUUCCCUUAACCCCGACUCUUUUCCUUCGCUUAUGGGGCUUAUAGGCUUGAGUUGACCCGACAAGCAACUAUGACUUAUUAGAAUCCGAUGAUCGGUACCCUAAUUAGAAUUCCAUACCGGCACCAGAGUAAGCUAGAUACUGGACCUCCAAUCGGCUCUGGCUACUUAGUUCCAUAUUCUUUACAUUUUCCAGUGAAUUGGAUUUGGAAGUUCUAUUUAAAUGAAUGAGUUGCGCGUAGGGAGUUAUGUGAGUUCAUGUCUUCGUCAGCUAAUGCGAGUGACUAUAGCGUUAGGAGCUGCCGCUACGUGGGCUUCCAUCUACAAUAACUGCACUGCUUCCAUAUAGGACUAGACUGAUUGCUAUAGGGCAUAAGCCGCCUGUCCGUACUUUUCUUCUUCUCCUCAUACAACUACCCAGUGGUUUUUUCAUCGUCUCCUCAUACAACUACCCAGUGGUUUUCAAAUAAGAUGUAGCCUUUUUUUGAUCUUCAUAUGCCUCAGUAAUACAUUGACUACAUCCGUCCCAAUGUGAACUCACUUUUACCUAGUACUUUGUCUAUUAGUCUUAUUAAGAAGAAUUGCCAUAUGUCCUGUCAAUUCCAUAGUUUCUGGCUUCCCGGCUUUACUUCUUUGACGGAAGGAACACAUUCUGACUUUCAGUUUCAAGAUGCAAAGUACAGAAUAUCAUAAGUCAAGCAGUUUCUAAAGAAAAGAUCGAUGCCAGCUCCGCUUCCUUCUCACAUUUUAUGGGUAGGGCACUUCGGGAGCACGUUCUUCAAAUUGAAAGCAAGAAAGACCAAUGUCAUUCGCGCGCUUACUUGACUUCCUAUUCUGGUCGAGUGUAGCCGGAAAGGUCAUAUUAGUAUACUCUUUCUUUCUUUUUUCUUUGCUAUCUACGAACGUCAAAAGAUGUGAAUGUGAUGUGGUAUCUUACUUAUCAACGUCUUAGAGAUUAGGGAUCUUAUUCCAAUUCCAAUUCAAAGCCAGCCUACCCGCUAUGAAAUCAGUAGAAGGAACACAGCCGAUUCGGAAACAUUCUCUGAUUCCUAUACAACAUAUGGUGGAGCAAAAGAAACCGACUCAGCAACAAAGACAAGUAGUAGCAUACUAUGUAUCUUUCUUCAUAGGAUUAGGAGAUAUAAUAUGAUCGAGCAACAAAAACGGGUUCCGCGGUUAUAGUGUUACUAUCUUAUUGUUCAAGAAGAGAUUACUGAUUGGAGACAUCAACCGAUGAGGAGACAACCUGGAGAGUAGGGAGCAGGUCAGACACUAACUCGUCUUUGAAGUCCGCCCCGUUGGCACUGGCUUUUAGUUCCGGAAGUAAGGAAGGCUUUACCCGCGUAUCAUUCCUUCUCUCUUGCGAGCCAGUCCGUCCUUCUCUAUUUGAUUCUUUGGGGGCUACGAAUUUCUUGUUCUUUUCUAAGUUAUAAGGCCUGAAGUCAGCCAUAGGUAAUCUCUCAGUAAGUCAAAAAGGAAAGAUUUCCCCCCCUAGCUCAAAACAGAGUUUCAGGAAAGCCUUAACCUUGAUAUUGAAAUUCCAUUCCCUACCAGUCCUAAGAAAAUGACUUAUACCUGUCUGCAAACGGAAAUGAAGGUUUCGUCUAGCCUUGCAAUAAGAUCGAAUCCUGUAGUUGACUUCUUUCCUUGCCAGUGUAAGUCGCAGGCCUCUAAACAUCCGGUUGCAUACGAGGUUUUCGUGUGGGUAAGGUAAUCUCAUAGUUUAAAGGGAGUUAGCCCUUAGGCUAAAAGCAAUCAGUCCAGAGUAAUAGUUCAUAGGCGGAUCGAAGGAUAAAGAUGGAAAGUAAUGGAUUGGAUGCCCAGCUUGAUUAGAAUCAUAAACUCUAACUCUCUGGUUUGGAAUUAAGCUUUAUAGAAGAGUUGUCUUAUCUCCUCUCCCGACUAACUAAGCGCUUUCAGUCAAUUCAGUCAAGUCUGGAGGCAUUGGCAGAGUUCAAGUUGACUUGCUUUAUUCAGUCAGUCUUAAGAUCAGAUCAUUGGGGAUAGCAGGAAUCUUUCUUUCUAUUUGGAAGGAAGAAGUUUACAUUCUUUUAUAUCUUAGAAGAGUCAGCAUUCCCUCCAUUUUAUAUCUUAGAAGAGUCAGCAUUCCCUCUAUAACUAUCAGUUGGUCCGAUAGGAGCUAUAGACUAUAGUUAGUGCCUUUACCUCCAUAAACCCUAACACUAUAGUAAGGUCUAGAAGGCCAAAUGAGGGUUCUUUUCUGUAUAUAUAUUCUAUUACAUAAGCUUUAUAUAUAUUCUAUUACAUAAGCCCUAAAGUAGGUAGCCCCGAAAGGCGAAGUCAGCAACUUGUCAAGAUGCUCUCCCGCAUAUAGGAGUGAACCAUUUCGUUUUUCUAGAUGCGAAGACAGACUAGCUAUCUUUCCCCACGGGGCGGUUCGGUAUGAAGGUUAGUAGGGAAGAACUCCGUCAUUGUCUGUAAUAGAAUAUGGGGAUAGAGAAUGGAUGAAUAAGUCCCCAAGGGAAUUCGAUUAUCAUUAUCUUUAUACAAUAUCUUUCCUUUGCUUACUCUCUUUCCUUCUUUCCUUCUUUCUAGCUUUACUUGGAUAACUUUCCUUCUUUCUAGCUUUACUUGGAUAAUGAGAUUACGGUUGUUGGCUUACUCUUAUAGGACAGGUAGUUUACUUACUCUUAUAGGACAGGUAGUUUACUACUGGAUCUUCGGACUCUUCUUAGUCAUCAGAGGAUGCAACAUAAAUAGCUAUGAGACUCGUAGAAAUAAGAAGGAUAUAAAGAGGUUUUCUUCUAGUCCUUCUUGAGAGGUAAUAGUGCUUACUUUCACUUUCCUGGGAGCUUAUUAAGGCAAGGAAAAGGAAGGAGCUGAGCUGCUCGAGUAUUCAAGGUAUCCCAAUAGGAAGGGCUGGUGCACGUGAAUAAGAACUAGCCAUUUCUUAGUCACCGGAAGUGCAAUCCUAUAUAUCGUAAUCGGCUGGGCUACUUUACCAAGGAAUCCGAAUUGGAUUCAUGCAUCGAAGCGGGUCGGGUAUUUUCUAACUAAUGCCACAUCUUAUCUGCUAAUGGAAUCUUCUAUUAUCCCAUUUUCCUCGUUAAGGUGAAUCAGCCAUUUUUUCUCCAUGUCAAGGAUGGCAUCGAAUCAGCCAGCAGUUAGCCUUACUUCAUCCACCUAAAGAAGACAGAGUUAAGGAACCGAGAUCACUGCCUCACACCACUGGCAUUGAAGAGGAGAUGUGCCAAGAAUACAAUAGCAACAGACAGAGCAGAUAUUCUUUCUUGCGCUAAGAUCCGAAUCAUACCGUAGCUGGCAUUGGAGUAAGCCUAUUUUCUAGUAGCUCGAUUCUUACAGUUAUCGGGUAAUGGGUUUCAUUCCUUAUGUCGAGGUUUAGUCCGAGAUGCUUGUUCUUAGUUCCGAGUUGCUUGUUUCAUUAUUAUAAGCAUUAGUAACAUUCUAAUAUAGUCGCCCGGGUUCCGAGUAGUUUGUUUCAUUGUUAUAUGUGCUAGAUCUAUGCCUGAUUAUAUUAUUACAAGUUAUGCUUUUGGGACUGAAAGCAAGGAGCGAGAGGCUUGCUUUAAGAACUAACCAAGGCUUGGACAAUCACAUUCCAUUAUGUAUUUGUUGACUCCGCCUUGUAACAAUGAGGGACAUUAUGAAUUAAUGGAUUGGAUUCCGUAACAGACAAGCAAGAUAUAGGCCCGGCAGAGGGAGACUUAUAGGCAUGGAAGGCAUACGCGAAGUGAGCCUAGGAGCGAGGUCGAGAUACUUUUUCUCAAGAACGGAAACCCCAGCAAACAAUAACCUAGCUCGAAACUCAUUCUUUACCUAAUGAUCCAUAUCUUGACUCUAUUGCCUAUGAACCCUGCCUUACCUACUACUAUAGAAAGGAUUGAACUUGAAAUACAUAAGUGAACUAACUAGUGUGAGUACUACUUUCCUGACUAUUAGGCUGACUUUCCUUGUUUGAGGCCUGGCGCUACUGUUUCCAAUACUUUCACCCAUAAUAGAGAAUUGCACAAGUGCUUCUAAUAUAUAUGAAAACUGUAAACCGGGAAUAGAACCUACGCUUUCAAACUAGCACCGCUACUAACCAAUACCUGUUCUCAUAACUAUAGAGAGCCGGAUCACUACUGCUUCUCGGAAGGAACCUAGGAAUACGGGAUAUGCGUAGUGAGUAUCACUUACUAUAUGCCCUAAUGGACUAACUAGGAAUCAGGCGACUAUCUCUAACUCUAAGACGAUAACUCGAAACUAGUUCCCAUCAGGUAAGAAUGCGGCUACUCCUUAUAAUCAUUAAGCUGGGAAUACAGAAUACAGGUAUUUGCCUACAAGACCUUAACUAUUUACCCCGAAGCUGUCCCCUUUGACUCCAACUCACACUAUCUUGUCUCCAACUCUUCUGCUCCUUUAUCUAAUCCGAGCUUGUUAGCUUUAGUAUGCCAUGUCCUUAAUGAGACUAAUUCCUAUUCCAUUGUUUUAGUCCACCUCUACUGCCUUAAUUCCCUUAGUUUGUUAUUUCAUUUCCUAUGUUUGAGUGUGAUUCUACUUCUCCUCGGGUUCAGCAUGACUUUCUCGGCUAUUAGGCUUAUACCGUAAUAAUAAGAAUCAAGAUGACCAAUAAGGAUUGAACCAAUGUAAACAAGAGAACAACCACUAAUGCAAGGAUUUUGACUCAAAAGAGAGAAUCGAACCCUGGCUUUUCACUAUUAACUAAAAGAAUGGAACUUGUGCUUUUAAGCCGGGAUCUCGUUCCCAGUAUUACAGAAUGAAAAGUAAGGUAGUAAGAGGGUAGCCAGACUAUAGGCAAUGGAAGUGAGCUUUGAAGUAAGUAAAGCAAAGACCCGGGGAUCAGUAGUUAAGGUAUUCGAAAGGCUAGUUGGGUUCUCGCCAGCAGUGAUUUCCGUCUUGGAAGCAUUAGUGAAAGAGUAGACGUAAGGGUUGUAAUUCCUUACCGUAAGAUUCAGUAUGAAAAGCACGCCGGUUGAGUUUAAAGUAAAGCAAGUAAGCAGCAUGGACAGGAAAGUAAGAAUGCUAUAGGGGCAGUUCAGUUUGCACCACAGAGAUAAGGAAUAAGAGAGAGGGAACUGAGCCUUUGAGAAAGUAGUUACAGAUCGAAAGCAAGGAUAGCUUACCCGUUUUUGUCUUCUAGUUAUGUGUUCAAUUCUGCUAGGAGUAGUUCGAUUCCUCGUUUUUAGGAGAGGUCUUAGAAGCACCAGUUUCUUUCUUUAUUAGAAGAGAAGGUCUCAGAAGCACUAGUCGUAGCCUGUUACACUUGGAAGUAGUUAUGUAUUUACUACUUGAUAGAAAGGAAAGACAGAUUGAGUCAAAAGGAGUCAAAGAAUGAUAGGACUGAGUGGCAACCUAAUAUAUAGGAAAGGUAACUCACAAGCAAGAAUGCACGAAACAAAUCAAUCAAGUACUUAGAGUGAGGGCAGUGUUUCAAGCUAACCUCUAGGAAUCGUAUCAAUGAGCUUGAAGAAUGAGAGAAGAUAUAGGCAGACGGAGGCUUUUCUUCUGACUAUGUGUUGUGGAUUAGCUUAGUCUUCUAGUUCGUCAUCCAAGAAUGAGAUUUAGAUAAGUUACUACUAGAGUGAAAGAAGGGUUGGCGGGAAGUAAAGUGAGACUUAUCGUGUAUGCUGCGUGUACAGACUAGUUCCCUAGGCGGUUAGAUUCAUAGACUUCUUAUAAAGGGGAGUCGUGUGCUAAUCUACCAUAAGUGAAGGGUGAAUUCAGAUUUAGAUGUCCAGGUAUCCGCUUUAAGGUCACAAGUAAGGGCUUGGACUACUUAGUGUGAUUCUAUGGGCGCUUUAACUAUUCGAUUCUAUGUUCUACUACUUUUUCUUAAUCUAUGUGCGCUGGAAUUAUGUAUUAGGGCCUAUGAGUUUACGACCUGUGUUCGACUACCGACAAUACUUGAGCCUAGCUUUAUCUACUACCUAUGAAGCCUGCCACGCCUGCACUCCUAUUAUAACUAACCUAUCAAUCAAUCCGCAUAAAACCUGGCUUUGAAACUGAUACUUAUACUAGUCAGAGUGGAACAGGUACUUCUCAUACUCGAACUAAGAACUAGGGCUCACUUUACGCCUAUUAGUCUAGCUAUCCUUUCUUGCAUUCCGACCCCCUGGGAACUCAAUCUGUUUCCUUUACUAAAAAGAAUGGAGCUGGUGCUUCUCAUCAUGACGCUAGGAACUAAGACUUUCUCUCUAUAUAUUAUAUAUGAAACUGCUGCUCGCACUACUCUAGCUCUAGGUUAAUAAUGAAAUAAAUAAUACCAGGAUACAGGUUCUGCGCUACAAGACCUAUAAUACUGAUCAGAACCAACCUAUAAACUAGGGCAGCGAACGAUGGCUACGGAUAAAGAGAAUAGAACCAAUAAGUCAAAGAAUAGGUACCCGGAUCGGAGGAACUAAACGAAAAACCAGUCAUAAAACAAGUGCUACCAAUGCUUUAACCGGAAACACAGGAUCAUACCAAUAACCAAUAAGAAUGUAAUUGCUGACAACAAUACUUACCUAACUAACGGGGGAUCCACUACUCAAUACAACGAUUGAAACCAAUGAGAAAAACACUGGCGCUCCCGGGGCGUCUCUUGGCCUGUAACUCGUGCCUGCACUUGAACCCUCCGCCCUAAGUCUUAGAGGAUGCACCAUCAGACUCAUAAUAGCAGUGAAAUGUUCUAGUAGUAGACUAAUCGUAGUAAGCAUCAUAAUGGAACUUACCACCCCUACCACCAAUAAACACAUAAACUAUACCUCUAUCCUUACCUCUUGCUCUAGUUCUGUUGCAGCAAUCGGGUCUGUAGCCUAGUAACUGACUUCGGGCAAUCAGUGGGCUAGUUUCAAGAAGUCUUAGUUGCCCGAGUUGGAUGAGCCGGAGGUGUAGUAUUAUAGUAGUAUAGUUUCAUUCAAGUAGUCCUGUUCCAUAGGUACUAGAAAUAUGAGAACAGGCCAUUCUUCUCUAGUCAACUAGCAACAGCAAACUAACAUGAAAGAAGUCAAAGAGCAAGCAAGAGAACAAGUAAGGUCAAAUAGACUAAGUGCGUUAGCGAGCUACACUGAACUCAACCCGCAAGUCAUAAUUCGACUCUCCAAGUUCUAAUUGAAUAUCUCUCUGUCAAUAAUAAGAAUUUAGAUAAGAGUGCCUAUUGCACGGUUCAAUAAUGGAUUGAGUAGUCAGGGGCGUUUCAAUAAUGGAUUGAGUAGUCAGGGGUGCCCCAUCUGAUAUCAUUGUAGUGGUGCUUGAGCCGAGUACGUACUAUUGGAAAGGAAAGGUGCUUGUGUGAAAAGAGCUAUUGAUUCUGUAAAGUUAUAGGUUUGAAAUCACUAAGCUCGAUAAAGAGCAGGAGUUAGAACACCCACCUUUAAAGAGCUCCAAUUCCUUUUCUUUUACUGCUUUAUGCUAGAGGUCAAUAACUCAGUUGGACCUUAUCACCUUUAAAGAGCUCCAAUUCCUUUUCUUUUACUGCUUUAUGCUAGAGGUCGAUAACUCUUCUUUUUGGACCUUAUUUCAUCAUUCAUACAGAGUCUAGUCUGACUGAUUCUCUUGUACUAGCUAAACUACUGUGUUCUUUCUUUUCUCAGGAUUUGAGAGUGUUUCCAUGUAUAUAAGCGCAGCUAAGCACAAUGUUGCCUUUCAAGUUGCCUUAAUGCUUAUAGAUAUUGUUUGUUUCUUAAUGGAUGAUUUCUUGAGAUAUAUGUUGUUUGAUGCCUUAAAUGUUAUGAAUUUGAGUAUGGGGUAGUGACAUGAAAAAGUGUAAUGCUAGGCUCAGGCUUGCUUACAGAAAAAGAACUAUGAAAAAAGCUUGGUUAUACGUGACUUGGCGGAUCGGAAGCAUCAGCUAGAUCGGUUGAGUAAGCCUGAGAAACAAGCAUAGUAAGAAUGAGCACGAGGAGAGUAGUCCAGAGCCAUAACAGUAUUAGUUGCUAUAGGUAUGGUUUCAAUAGGUAUAGGUGUUUCUGAAGUUUCUUUGCCCGGUGUGAUUCUAAUAAAUAUGGGCCAUAUGGAGUCGUAGGUGAAGAUGGGACAUAUUUAGGUGCGGGCUUUUUCUUGCUUGAAAACAGUUUCCGGAUCGUAUAUAUCAAAUAGGGUAUGGAGUUCAGCUCCCAAAGCCCAUGCAUGCGGAAAUAUAUCCUAUUUAACACAAUAUCUUUCUUUUGGAUAAUGAUUGGUCUCAACUCGGGAAUUCGGAAUUCUUAAUUGCUAUUACGAUUGCUCAACUAGUGCUCAAAAGGAAAGGAAACUUCUUUUGUUUAUUUUGGCUUAUGAAACUGCCGUUGAAAAGAAAAAGAGGAGCUCAAACACAAGGCGGAAACAAUCGAUCGAAAAUCCAAUCCCCGUGAAUGGAGUCUGAAGCUGCUGUGACCCUCGUAGGCGUCCCUAAGGCGAUUAGAAUGACCCAUAUCCUGUGGCCUCCUACGACCCUCUUCUGCUCUCCUGCGAAGUAAACCCAGCUUGACUUUCAUUUCAUUUGAAAUAUGAGUAAACCCGAACCUCAGAUCUCACUUUGUUAUCUCCUACUCCUAGUAAGCUGCCUUAGCCCUAUCCUUCCCGCAUCUUGUGUUACCCUUCCGCCCUACCUCUUCCUAAGUCGGCUCACCCCUCGUCCAUACUAUCCCAGUAACAGGUUCCCCCAUCUUACUCGACAGUUUCAUCUCUGCAACCACACAAAGUCAGUUCCCUUUCCCAUCCCCAACAGGCGUACGGAUUCUUUCCCUCCUUCCUCAGGUUCUCCCAUCUCAUUGGGUUGUGUUUCGAGGUGCUCACGGCGUCGGUGCAUGGAAGCCCGAUGCUACAACAAUAGGCUGAUGAAGAUCCAACAACAAUCAAUCCACCCUCUUUUAUGAACUUGACCCGAUUGAAGUCGGCACUGCCCGCGACUCCAGGAGACAGUGUUGUCUUUAUGGAAAAUGUCUAGGUCCUGCUUUUAGACUUCCUUCGAUCCUUCCUCUCCAAACGUUGCGGCUUACCCUCUCUCUGACUUAGACCUAGCGACCGGUUUUCUUCUGCUUAAACUCGGAACCUGAGAUGCUUCAUGUCCUAAUGGAGGGCCCUGGUUCAUCCGAAAGCCCUAUAACCCUUAUAGGAAGCCGAACUUGAAACGCCUCCUUUAUCGAGUUUACAAGGUUCUGAUUUAGGCCCAAUUCCCCGGUCUCCCUUUCUUUUAAUACACCCCGGUAUACUCUGCCAAAUAGCCUCCUGCAUAGGUAAGUUCCUCAAUCAAGAUUCAGUUACCUUGUCUCGCACUCGCGGCAAGUUCGCGCGUGUUUGUAUCUUCUUGGCCAUUUCUUCUCCUCUUCCCCAGGACCUAUGGAUCAAGGAUGGUUCUUCCCCAUUUGAUCAAUUCUAAGGUCGCCGACUAAACCAACUGGAAGCCAAGCCCUUUUUCCAAUUGAAGCCGAGAAUGAUUUGAAGAAGCAUCCGCUGAAACGGAGUAAGGAUCUAAACAAUCCGUAGCCUCCCCUUCCAAGGGCUCUAUAAGGAUAAUAUGCAUGCAAUAGAUUGAUUCCAGUUCCAAUUUGUAUCUAAUUGGUUAUAUUUGCUUCAUCAAGAAUCUUCCCGCUGUCUCCUUAAGUUGUUUAGGAGCACAUUCAAUCCCGCCUCCUCCUCUUUCUGCCUUUCUGUUCCCUUAAUUCAUUCAUUUCUUUAUUCUUAUGUGGCCUAGGCGCGUAGGUAUCUUACAAGCAUUUGCUGCGGCUGCAUUCUAUUCUAUAUUUGUGCUAAACACUUUAUCCCUCUGAAUUAUUAGCUGCUAUUCCAAUGCACUCUUUCUUUUGUCUUACCCUUCCUGCAAUGGUUUUCAGUCCGUGAUCUAUGCAUUCUUUCUGUAAACUCCAGUGGAUAGAGUUCCCCUAUCUCUCCUUAAGUUGAAUCAGUGGCUUCUUCCUCCAUACAAUUCUCGGUAUUAACAAGGCAUGUGUGAGUUGGCACACUCAGUAAUAUGUAGUAAUCUCCUCAUCGUCUGACUCUUUGUACUAUAUCUCUUUUCUUUUGAUAGGGACUUUUCUCUGUUUAAGGGUAUUUGGAUUUACGGCUCUCAUCCCGGCACUCUCUCUAUUGGGGAAUUUCUGGAACAAGAGCUCUCAUUACGCAAGCAAUCUAUGCUUCACCUUAUGUUCUGGCUCCCCUGCUCCUUUCUUCUUAUGAUUGACUUCCUUUCCUUGGCCUGGCCCCCGGGGAUAUCUUUUUCCACUCGUUUUUCUGCAGUCUUUUCCGAGGGGAUUUCGUUUGGCUUUGCUUUGGGCAUUCUUCUUUUCUUCUUUAUAUGUGAAUAUCUUCUUUUGCAUCUCCAUCCAAUUAUGGAACUUUGUGUUGCUGUUAAAGGGUUAGCCCGUUGUAAUCCAGCUCCUCUCAACCCGUUACUUGGCUCUAAGAAAGGUGAAGUUCCUCUAUGGGUAAAGCCGCACUCGUCUCUGGUGUAUAGAUAUGGGAAGUCGUUGGCCUCACAUACAUCUUUCGGAUUAGUGAAAAGAGAACUAUAAGGUGGUAUAUUUAAGAACGGUUCAUUUCAAAGAACAAACAAAGGGGGUAAGACUAAAGGUUCAUUUCAAAGAACAAAGGGUAAGGCUAAAGGUUCAUUUGGUCGAAUCGAAAGGAAAAGAUGAUUAUGUGUGUGAUAUUUCUCGAUGGAACCGGGUCCCGACCGUCUUUCUAUUCUUCAAGGAAAGUAGCACUCACUCGAGAAUCCAAAAGGAAAUCUCCGUGUCAAGUUGCCAACAUAGAGAAUCUCUCUGAAUCCUAUUAUAGAACUAUAAGAGUGAUGACUCCCUAACGGGCAAGAGAUUCAUUAUCGGAUCAUUCCUUUCCCUAACGGGCAAGAGAUUCAUUAUCGGAUCAUUCCUUUCCCUAACGGGCAAGAGAUUCAUUAUCGGAUCAUUCCUUCCAGUUCGUUCAAAAGCCGGCACGGCACCCCGAAAUAAAGGCUUCGGCUGCUGCUCAGAACGAAUGAAUCAUUAUAUGUGGUGGGCGUAUAUGUGAUUAAAGCCAGCAUCACAAUGGCAAAUGCAAUCUUUUAGCUUAUGUAUGUGAAUCGCACGAGGCUUCCGCUCCUCAGAACGAUAGAAAUUCCAGGUGGGGCAACUCGUUCAGCCGCCUUCAACAGAGACUCUUCCUCUCCUUUAGGAUCCUCUAACGGGGGAAGCUGACAAUUCUGGAUCUUUGGGUAAAGCCGGGCUGAUCCAAGUUUUGCAUCCUGCUGAAUGGUUUUUCCUUAUUACUGGCGGGAAAGAAUGUGUGUGCCCCAACAGAAGAUAGGCUGAUUGAAUCAACGGAACCCAGAAUCAGAGUAUAGCCCGAGCUUAAACUCACUCGGUCAAGGAGAUACAGCAAAAACAAAGCAAUACCUUCACUAUUCCUUAUCAUCAUCGAUUUACGGGAAUCUUCAUGAUUGCAAAGCUCUUCCGAGACCCUAUACCUUCCGAUGCAGGGAAACAAAGGCUCUAGCUUCUGGCCCAAUAGGGGGGCGUCGGGUCUAACAACAGAAGCGGAUUCAAGUAUUCUUAAAGAGUAGCAAAGAGAAAAACAGAGAGAAAGAGUAGGGAAUCACGACUGGUAUCGAAUCCAGAAAGAGAUGAGCAGGAGGCUAGAAAUGGCAGCAUUAGCGUCAGGGUCACAUUCAACGCGCAAUGACUAACGCUAAAGUCAGUAAAGUAAGCGUAAGCGUCCCGGAACAUUGAUUACUUGUUCAUUGAUUACUUGUUCAUUGCUUGCUUGUUCAUUGCUUGCUUGUUCAUUGCUUGUUUGUUUGCUUAUUUACUUGUUUGCUUGUUCCGUUGUGCGUUGAGCCAGCCGUAAACAGCCCUUUCAAUACUUUCUCCGCUGGCUUUGUCUCUGCUCUACGAAACUUAUUUGUUAUUUCAAAGUCGGGUGCUCUGAGACAGUAUUCUUUGUUCUUUGUGGAACUUCAACUCGAGGAACUCCCCCCUUUAUUUAGCCAGUCGAGAAUCAAUCCAGAAUGGAAUUAGCCGUAUGGAUUGCCCAGACUUCUUAAUGGUUGCUCAAGCAGUAGAUGAAGAGCAGAGCAGGGUCAAUGGACUGGUUAACUUAGUGUUCUUCGAAAAAGGAGGCCGGGGUCAACGAGAAAAGUGGCUUUUGUCCCAUGAUAUAAGACAAGGAUUCUGUUUCCUGGUACGGUCGGGUUGCUCAAAACAAGGAUUCUGUUUCCUGGUACGGCCCGUUAAGCUCUAAAGGAUAGAGUGUGUGCUACCCCAAGCGAGUGAGUGAAAGGCGUGGUAACUGAACUGCUUAUAUACACCACCCAUAGAUGAUGAUGAUAUAAUAUUGUAUGGGGUAGGUUCAUAACUUUGCUGAGAGUAGGAAGGUGCAUAUCUUUGCUGAGAGUAGGAAGGUGCAUAUCUUUGCUGUGCUUGCUGAGAAAGGGAUUCAUUGGAUCAUCAGAAAUGCAAAGGAAGUCAAAGUAUUGCUGCUGCUCUGUUCUCUGAGAGUUGAACACUUACCGCCCCAUUCCGAAAGGUAACGGGACCGGGACCGGCCAUUAGGGGGCUAGGGCAGCCUUUUCAUUAAUAUAGUGCAAUGAUUCUCUCAAAAGAUAGAAAUACUCGUUUAGCCGAGGACUUCCAAACACGUCGUCGUCGUAAGCUAAACCCGUACUGAAGGGCACAUAAGUGGUCGGGAAAAUCAGGGAAGUCAUUCGCGGAGCCUCUGUCCGGCCGAUCAUUCCGCUGGCAUCUUGCAUUCACGCCUCCGUUUGACUUUUGAGCAUCCUUUACUUUGGGAGAACUUAGUAAACAGGGAACUACUGCUCUCAUCUCUUUCUCUUGGACCACGCCCUUAUGUCUCCACGUGUGGCAGCUGUUCAAACAUACAUAUCAUUGCUCUCCUCCUUUUGAGAACUCUCCUACUUUUAUUGCUCCUCUCUGCUAACUUCAUUCGUAUUUCUGACUCUGACUCUAAGGGAUCUUUCUGACGAACUACUUUACUUACAACUAAGCUUGCCGGGGGAACUCGCAGCCGCUUGAACAAAGGACUUGCGCUAACAGAACCAGUAAGUGAACCAGCAAGUAGGAAGGAAAGGAAGUGUCAAAUCUGCAAUUCUAUACAAUUACUAAGCGGUCUGAAACUCCUACUAUUACUUAGAAUAAGGGAUAACUAGUCCUACUGUUGCUCACAAGAACGAAACUUUCCACUGAACCUCGAACUACACUUUAAUAACUUACCUCGAAUGAAACUAGAGCAUCAACACAGGAAACGACUCACUUUUCACAGUCAUAUUAAUAUUAAGCCUAAUGCGGGUUUCAAGUAAUAGGGAAGGUUGCUAAGGUGAAGAAGCCUAGUAGCAGCAGUAGGAGCAGAGAGUAAAGUGAAGUUAAGGAAAGGAUCUGAACUCAUUAAGUCUAGGAAUUCAAUAAGUGGGCGAGAUCUUACUAAACAAGCUCCUAUAUUUAGAUAAGAUAUAAUUUCUAUGGGUUGGUUUGGGUAGCGGAACACCAACAGCAUCAGAAGGAAAUCGGGCGAAAGUGUGCAGCAGCAGUGAAUUGGUCUGUUCUCAAGUAAGGAAAGGCUGUUUCAUUAUUUGUUUAACUUGACUCUAAGCUCCAAAGAAAGAAUACGGGUUGACUGAAGGAAGCUAUAAGUAUUCCCAGGCCAAAUCAAUCGUUCCAGUUUAUUUAGUAGAAAAUAGGUACAUUAGAUGGAGAUUCCAUUGCAAAGGGAGUUGUUGAAGUUUACAGUUCCAGUUUCAUCGUAUAUAGAAGCCGAAGAUCGUCUAGUAUGGGGCGCCGAGAGAAUCAUAAGUUGUUAGAGUUUUGUCCACGAGAUCAGAUGCUGUUCGAGUUAAGUCUACAAGAUCUGAUGCCACUGUCUAAUAGAAAAAGUAAUAAAGAAGAGAGGUAGGGCGCAGGUCAAAGGUAGAGGUCAGCUGCACUUCCUGUCCUGUUUUCGCCUAUAGCAAGUCACGUUUUUGGUAUCUGUAUCUAAAUCUAUACGCUGUUGUUUGGAGAUGAGUAUUUGAAGUCUGUAUCGGUACAUUACAUUAGUAUAGUAUAAGAGUACAAAAUUCCAACCCUACGUUCUAUCCGUACGAGUACAAAGUAAUCAAAAUCAGAAGAGAGUAAGAGAGAGUGAGAUAAGAAGCGAGGGUAUAUAUAACAACCUAGUAAUCAAUAAAAGCCAGAGGCGAGAAGCAGUUCUUGUUAAGUCAACUCGAGAAGAAGAGCCACAAGAAUCAGACUCCGUGUAGAAAGAUCAGAAUACGGAGCAGUUCGAAGAGAAUCAGCAAGUGAAGAAGCUGUUUCAACAAGAUCAGAAGCAUCUGCAGGGUUCAGGGCAGGUUAAGGGGCCCCGAAUCAAUGAAUUCUUCAGACAGGACAGGGACAGGUCAAGUAUCAAGUGUAGUUCCAGCGGAAUCUUAAGCCAUUCAGUAUAAGGGUCUUCAUCGGUGUCAGUGGAUGAUUGGAAUGAUUAGUUUCAAGUAAACAGUGACUUCUCGGCGCCAAGACAAGACCGGAACCAUCCUUUCUGAAUUGACAACACUAGAGCAAGAAAGAAGAGAAGGUAUAAAAUCAAUUGAGUUAGAUUAGCCUCAUUCAGUUAGCAGAGAGGAGUUGAAUCCCCAGUUUCUUAAGGGUGGGGGAGAAGGAUCACUCGCACUAACGAGCAGAAAAAGAACUCCAGUAUUGGAGCCUAUACAAAGGGGAAGGGCAGAUCCAGAUGUUCUUGUUAUUAAGGUAGAAUACCACUCCGACAAGACACUAAUAAUGUGGCGCUAAAGUUGUUAUUCUUUGCUAUCAGGCAAGCAUAUACAAAUUUGGUACUUCGCUUUUCUCAAAUACAUACUUAUUACUUGGAGUUAUAAAUGACAGUUUGACCGUUAUAUAAGUUUUGGCAAGACGUCGUGUAUCAGCUAAAACGUCAGUUCAAUUUCAAUGAUCUUCUGAUUCUGUGCUAGACUAGAAAGAAUGAAUUCAGGGGUAUUUAUUGACUGAAGCAUUAAGUAUUACCAGUCCCAACAUAAGUAAGCAUCAGGAACAAUAACAAGAUCUUGAGUACGAAAGAUCUGGAGUACGAUCAAGCCCGCCAAGUCACUUGUCUGCUUGUCUGCUUGGAGGAAAGGAGACGAGAUCAGAUGCUAGAGAAGGAUCCACUGAAUUAGCAGAAGAAAAGAAGUAAGCUAAGUAAAGUAAGUACCAUAUUCCUUAAGUAAAGUCAGUAAAUACCUUAAGUCCUUGUAAGUACAUAUUCAUUAAAUAAUGAAGUGGGUGGAGUCACUAACUGUGCCGAUAUUUUGGAUUCAAGCUUCAAGUCAGAGCAGAGCAAGAGGUCUUAUAUAGGAGAGGAGCAAGAGUUCAACCAAAACAGCCCUUUUUCCUUUACUUGCUCAUGCAUAAGCGCGUGGUGGAGUACUCUAUUCGAUAUUGCCUUACAAACAAAUAAGAAAGAGCCCGGUAAUAGGUCCUGUCCGUGUUCUGUCCCAUCAGCUUGCUUCUUGCGAGAUGAAUAGCUUUACCAUGCUUGGUUGGAUAUGAGUAGUUAUCUUCAAUCGAUUGUUUAAGGCUAAAGCUGGAAUGACUUCGGCCGUGGCACGAUAAUAAGAGCGUAGUCUAUUUGAUACUUAAAUAAUGUCAUAAUCAAGGAGAUGUGCAAAUAUAAUGAAGGGAGAUUAUAAGUAAGAGAGUCCUAGCCCGAAUGAAGGGAGAUUAUAAGUAAGAGAGUCCUAGCCCGAAUCCUGUCAUUAGUUAUUCAUUAGUAGAGUAAGCUAUCGCACCGGAUAUAGAUAUCAAGUCCAAAGCAUAGGGAUUAACCCAGUGGAUUCUCUCGCCUCUUGCUUGCUCUUAUUGAUGACUAUGUUUGUUCUUUUAUUUAAUGAUUAUUUGAUUGUAUUCAGUUAUUGAUUACUUACUUCCAUUAGGCCUCGCCUCUAUGUUUUAUUACUUGCUUAUCCUCUCCUGUUACUAAAAUAUAUAUACAAGGCUUGAGUAACUAUAAUCAUUCCAUUCAUUAAUGAAACUCUACGUUAGCACAGAGGAAAACAAAGAAAAAUCAUAUCUAUCUACCGCCAACAAAGAAAAGGAAUAUCUAUCUACCACCAAUAACUUAUCAUUAAGAAAUUCUAUAUAGUAUAGCCUCUCCCUUGUUCUUCUUCUCGAGUCGAUAGUAUAGCCUCUCCCUUGUUCUUCUUCUCGCGUCGAUGUCGACUUGACUUCUUCUGCAACAGAUCUUUAUUCCACUCCUGAUCAAGCAUCUAAUCUGGAAAUUGCUUCAUCUGGUCAUUCGGCAUCCAUAAAGGAUUAUCUUGGCAAAGCUACCGUAACAGAACUCCACGACAACACUGUCAUGUAAACCAUACUCAAACCUACGAGCUACUUCGGGACAAUGACUUCAUAGACUUCGAGCUAAAGCAGGACUCUCCGUUUCUUCUGGUCGACAACACGGAUCAAAGUAAACUUGAAGUUCAGCUGACCCUAACACCUUAGCAGUAUGGAUUCGGCUUGCCUCCUUUCUUUACUUAACUGGAACACAAAGAGAUGAUACACAAGGAGCGUAAGCCUUAGACACAAGCAUAAGAAUCACCUACUUCAGAUUCCACUAAAGAUAGACGACCUGUUCCUAGGUGCACCAUCCUCUAUUCAACAAGCAGUGAGAUUAGCUAGAACAGGAUUAGAAACACAGGAUUCAAUUAUCAAAGCGAGUGAAGAAACAAACUAACAAACAAGUCCAACAAGAACUAACGAACAAGCAAAGAGAAAAGUCAAUAAAAGAAGGGAUAGCUACCUAUCAUUACCUAAACUUCUAUAUAAUGUAAGUGAAACAAGAACUGGAAUUGCUUAGGAUGAAACAAGAACAGAGCUUGCAGAUGCAGACUAAGUGAUAACUCCCCUUGAACACAAAACAGAAUUCACCCUCAAACACUUGCUCACUCUCUGACUCCUGUCCUGACUCGUUGCUAUAACACUGCUUCCUCUCUCUAAGACUUUCACUCUACUAUCUGAAACAGCUUUGCACUUAACCGCCGAUACUUGAUUCUUUUCUAAAGCUAAAGUGAUUGGCACCGGGCAAGAAUCUCUAUAGUAUGUAUAAGUGGAAUACUAGGUAUGGUUGCUGGCUGCGGGUAACUAACCUACCCGAGUGCUUCUAAAGCCCAUUAUUAUAUGUAGUAAUUCCAUUCUAUUCAAUGGAGUCCUAAUUUCUAGCGUCAGUAAGAAGUCUUUGUCUCCUAUAACGCUAGGCUUGAGUUAGCGCAACGGCCGAGCUCAACUCUACUUCAAUACUUAGUGAGGUUCGAAGCUAUGCUCUGUGUUUUUCAUAUUCCUCACUAUCAGAGGCGGACUAAGCACUUGCAGAAGCAUCAGAUCAGAUAAUAUAAGAUUGCCUAAGUCGUAAUGAAGAUUGCUUGUUCUCUCCAUCUCGAAGUUCAACAUUCCAAUCAGCAGGAGCAGGAAAAGAUGGAUGUGUCCUGUUUUCGGGAGCAAGAGAAGCAACCAGGCUAACGUAGGUAUAGAUAUGUGAAGAGCAAGUAUCGUUUUCUCCCGUUAGUGAGUUCUGGGGAGUAAGGAGUGUUUUUUUAAGCAAAAGGUCAGCAAUGCGGUUUACUAUUUUCUAUAUAAUGCAGCAAGAGAAGAUUCUAUGAGUGGAACAAGUAAGGGUGAACUACCGUAGUUCUGUUAGUUGGGGGCGCUAGUCGGUUUAGAGUUUGUUGCGCAUGUAGGUUAGGAAGAAAUAGAAACUUAUCUCACCGGUCAAAGAAGUCUCAGCCAAGUAACUUAGCAACUACAUUUCCGACUCCUGUUACUGUUCCUGUUUGUAGUGACUUGGCGCCUGCUUGGCGGAGUUGGAGCGGAGGGCUUACGUGAGUCUGCAUUAAGUAAAUAGGGUCUGCUCGACGAAAACUAUCCUUAGAAUGAAUUGAUUCCUAACAUCUUUCUGGCUCACUUGCGGGUUCCGUUGCUUAUACCGCUGAUGCUUAUUAUCCCGAUACUGCUUCUUUGACCUUCGUUUUUGCAACAAUAAAUGAUGUGAUGGUUGGUUACCUUUUCCUAUCAUACAGAGCGGGGAACAACAAGAAUUCUUUAUCUUACUGAAUUUAGAUAGUGGGGCGUUAGCAUAGAAUGUUUGUAACCUGACUGUUCACCUUUUGCACUUAGUGAAUUAAAGCCAGCUAAGGCGGGAAAGAAAGAGGGGCUCUGGUAAGAAUAAAGUAUCUAGUAGCUCAUAGUAGGUUAAGGUAAAAGAAAAGGUAUGGUGUAAGGUCUAUGUUAGGGAAGGGAGUAUAUAUUUCCAUUAAUGUUUGAGUGGAAAGGAAAACUCUGAAUGAAAGAAAGGAACUCACCUGCCCAUAAAUAAGGAAUGAAAGAGCUAACUAACGUUGACGCUGACCCUGACCCUUUACCACUGAGUCCUGUGUUCGUCCACUAGAACAGGAAUUCGACUUGAAGAACCCGCUUGCUUAGACUUCGACUCAUGAACUGCUCCUGUUUCUUCUGUUGAAACAGCUCCCGCUUCCGAUUCCUCUUCUAAUCUAUCUGAGGCUGAUGAUCCAACAAGCACGUUCGAGGGGGACUUCCACUCUCACUCCAAGAACUACUUACAGCUGACUCACAGCUAACCGUUACGUCGGCCAACACUUAUUCUUCUCCCGCUUCGGCUGAGGCUUCUUCUGUGUCAAAGACUUCGACUCUUCCUACUACACCAGGUGCUUUUCCAUCAGCCUCUCGCUUUUGCUCGAGCUCGAGUUGGGAUCUCCCUUUUGACUUAACUACAGAAAAGGGUGGCUGGCAGCAUAAUACACCCAAUGGAAAGACUCCCGCUAAUAGAAAAAGGAUCUGCGGAUGAGAACGAGAGCAGUACCGAUAGCACCCUUCCUGUUCCCUUGACUAGUGAGGGUAGCCAUCACCAGGGCCGAUGAUCCAACCCUAUACGGAGAUGCCCUGAUGAUGAUGGGCGUGAUCCAUAGCCGAUGUUGGCUGGAAGCAGUAUCCGUUGAAGCUAUUCCGCACCCCUUCGAGUAUCAGAUCGAUAUGUUAUUCGAUAUCUUCCAGCUUCUUGUUCAUCAAGUACCAGUACGGAAUCAGAUCAAGCAUCCGGGGCUUAAUCGGGCUCAUAAUGGGAAGAGGACCAGUUAUAUCAGCUUCGACGUCCCUGACGUCAGUACCAAAGAUGAGUAACAUCCUAACAAAGUAGCUAGUAGUUCCAGAAUCCACCCUUUGGGAAGAAUCAUCAACUCGGGGACGAAUCUCAAGAAUCAGAUCAAGUCGAUAGUCCAGUAAUGGAAUGAGUCUAUAGUAAGGGUUGUGCUUUCGACUAGUUUACGUCAAAUGCCUAGAAGAAUUCUGCUCUUAUAUAGUAAAGACUCAGAGAAUGCAUCGGAAGAAGAAGUUCAAGCAUAAAGUAAGGAUACGGAAUAUCAAAUAGAGAGUAAUCCCACAAAAGGGGCGGACUCAACAGACUCAGGGGUGCUACUAGAGAAAUAAAUGAAUGAAUUUUCCGGAAUCGUCUUGUCUUCUUUCAAAGCAGCAAAGGAAGUGCAAUAACCCAUUCUUAUGCAAAGAAAGGCUAAGUCAAAGAAGAGUUGGUUCGGUAUCGAACCGAAAUCCAUGGUAAAACCCAUCACUGGCCGAGUGCCUCUAAAACCUUGAACUUAGCCAACCCGGAAGGCAAGACAUCUCGCAUCUCUCUCUAUUAAGGCAAGUGGUUCCUCAAACGUUAGUUCUUUUUAGUAGUUAGGACACAGUCAAAAGCAAGUCGACAUGAUCCUCCUUUGACUUCCUAUACGACGGUAGAGGGCCAUUGAGGAAUAAUGUCUCAGAAUAUUACCUGGUGGCGAGAGUCGUCAAAGCAUCAUGAGAAGACUCUAUUCCUUUCCUUUCCCUACGACCCGGAGUGAGCAGUGAAGAUCGAUCAGUUACCCGAGCCUCUAUUUAUGCCGGGCCACAGGAGGACUUAUGUCUUUGACUCCAAUGUAAGCUCAGAGGAACUAGGGAAUAAAAGAAUAUAAGAAAGAAUAGAACUCGCAUUCAUUCAUUUAGAUAUAAGAAAGAAAAGUCACCUAACUCAACAAUACCUCUCGGGGGGCGAGAAUGAUUCGAGCCGUAUGAGGAGAAAGGCCUCCUAUAGUUUAUGGGGGAGGAUUGAUUCUUUACAUCUAUACCAGUUUCUGGGGGAGCAUUGUUUCUUUACAUCUAUACCAAUGAGCCAUCUAUGGAAUGGUUUCAAUUGAUGUUCGAUCCCGAGGAUAAGGGGGAGAUCUUUGAAAAGUGGGUUUUGAUGAUCCGAUAAAGAAGAAAACGGAUUCAAACGUUCCCGCUAUUCUAUAUUUCCUUGAAAAGGGCGCUCAACCUACAGGAACAGUUUCUUACAUUUGUCAAAGUCAGUAUUAAUUUGAUUUCAAGAAAAACCAUUCAUAAAAUAUAGGGAUCUAAUAAUAAUCUCAAUAAAUCUUUGUAUUCUUCUUGACUAACUCUGAAGAAAGUCAAUUCACACCUUACUGAACUUAUAAUGUACACAAAUAGAAUGGAAUGGAAAAUGGAAUGGAAUAAGAACAGCUGCUCGAGUCGACAUCGAGACGUUACUAGCCCUAAAAGAGAUGAUAGUUGACACCUUGCCUUACUUAGUCCUUGCCUUACUUCUAAUUACAUUUUAUAGAAUUCUGUAACCUCACACCUUACUCUCUGAAAUUGAUUCGAGACUUGAUCCCAUCAGAAUCUAGUAACCACAGGAUGAUCCCAAUCUCCUUCUUUUAGUACAAU
This 27876-nucleotide long non-coding RNA is filed under the name Musa acuminata (dwarf banana). RNAcentral describes it as "long non-coding RNA (MACU_LNC007469)". The record is from RNAcentral. Lineage: Eukaryota; Viridiplantae; Streptophyta; Magnoliopsida; Zingiberales; Musaceae.